CAGGAGGAGGAGUAGGUCCUUGCCUCGCUGCGAUGCUGUGGCUCCGAGCGGCAGUCAGCGGCACUCCUCUCUUGGGUUUAGCCUUCGACGUUGGUGCAGAAGCUGGAAGUGUUUCACUUACACAGAAAAGAGACUGAGCAAUCCUGUGACUCAGCAUCGCUACCUUGAUUUUUCAGCUGAUCAAACUAAGGCUCAGAAAGGCGAGUCUGAAUCGCUCAAAGUUCCUUUGGUUGCAAGCAACAGAAACGAACUGAAUCUCACUUCACCUAAAGAGAGAAAGUCGUCGUAAGAUGCAGCGGUCAUUUGGGGAACCCAAGCUCACGUGUGAGCACUGGGCAGCGUCCCAGAAAUGACAAGAACCAGGAGAGGGAGGCAGCAGAGGGCUCGGGGAGUGUUGCUUCUCCUUCUCUCCCCUUGUCUCGACUUGGCUGCUGGGCUGCCUCUGUCUUUUUUCUCUGAAGACUGACUUUCUCAGCUGCUCGGUGCAAAUAGUUGGAGGAAUGGCAGCCUCCCACAGCUUCCAGGUUCACACAUUAUCAUGCCAACCAUAGGAGAGACUGCCCUUCUGCCUCCCUCUCUCUGGAUUGCACAUUAGCACAGCAUGUCCCUUCAGCUCGGAUCUUGGAAUGAAGAAGACACACAGAGCAGAGCUGCAGCCACCCUGCAGUCACCUCCAACAGUGAGAAAUAAACUUUUGAGAACCGACUCGUCUGAGACCCAGUCUUGAGAGCAGGCCAUGCUGUGGCAGGCGUCCCACGUAUAAAGUGGAGCAAGAUGGGCACAGAUGUUAGCUCAGGGCCAGUCUUCCUCAGCAAAAAGAGGAGGAUUGGCAGUAGGUAGCUCAGGGCUGAUCUUCCUCAAAAACAAAAAAACAAAAGAAGGCGGGGAGGAGCAGGGGGCAGUCCCCCGGGGGGAUUCCCAGAUUUCUUUUUUUGCAACCAGGUAAAUGGCUGGACCCUUCACUGGGAGUAGGAAUCUUGGAGGAGCUUAUUUGUGGGGAAUGGUGAUGAGUUUGGUUUUGAACCUGGUGAAUGGAGGUGCGCGGGGGAGAGGUCCAACAGACAGGAGGAAACAGCAGUUUGAAUCUCAGGAAGGAGGUCCAGACAGGACUCACAGGUUGGUGUUCAUCUGCCCACGGAGGUACUCAAAGCUUUGAGAGUCAGGGAAAGCCCAGAAAGAAUGGGAGUCUCAGAGAGGGAAGAGAAUGAAGGUUGAGGCACUCCGCCACUGGAAGGACCCACGGGUGGAGGCGAGCGGAGCAGGACAGGCAGGGGGAAUGGAGGUACGCAGGCUACGAGGGGAAGCAAAGUGUCUCAGCCGCUGGCACCAGAUUCUUCUUGGAAAAGAAAUUGUCUUUUUUUUCUUCUUUCAAAGGCAUCAAUUUUCCUGAACUUCAAACUAGCCCUGCAAGAUAUAAUUCGGGGAGAGCAAACAUAUUUAUCCCCAACUACCAGGGAGGGAACUAAGACCCAGAAGGAUGCGAGCCUUGCCCAGACUUACAAACUUAUUUUUUUAUUUUUAAUUGUGGUUAAACAACCCACAUAGCGUAAAAGUUACUGCCUAAACCAUUUCUAAGUGGACAGUUCAGUAGGGUUAAUUAUAUUCACAUUGCUGUGUAAACAAUCUCGAGAAUCUUUCAUCUUGCAAAACUGAAACUUUGUCUUCAUUAAAUAAGGCCCCUAUAUUUUCCCCUCCCCCCGGGCCCUCGUAACCACCUUUCCGCUUUGUUUCUAGGAAUUUGACUACUCUAGAAAUUUCAUGUAAGUGGGAUGAUACAGUAUUUCUCCCUUUGUGACUGGCUUAUUUCGUUAGCAUAAUGUCCUCAAGGUUCAUCUAUGUUGUAGCACGUGUCAGAAUUUCUUUCCUUUCCUUCAAGCCUCAAUAAUAUUCCGUGGUAUGUGUAUACCAAAUGCUGCUUAUCCAUUCAUCCAUCGGUAGACAUUUGGGUGCUUCCACUUCUUGGCAUCGGGAACAGUGCUGCUAUGAACACGAGUGUGAGAAGCGUGCUUCUGAGGCAUGGAGGACAGAAGGUGAAUCCUGAGGGCACAGGAUGAAGACCACAGGAGGGGUGUCGUCGCUGAUCUCUAUGAGGAAACGAGGGGAGUUUUGCUCCUUAGAGGGUCAGGGAGAGAAGAGCGGAAGAGGGGCCGAGGAGGAAAGGUGGGGAGAAACAAUCCAGUGAGGUGGGCUGGAGUGGGGAGCGCCUGGGGUGAGGGGCCAGGGAGGAAUUCUCAUCGCUGUCUCAUCAAAGAACAGAGACGUCUAGUCUUCUGUAUAAAGCAGCUAAAAUGGUUGUUUCACUCCAUCCUGCCCGCCCUCCCACUCAGCACAUUUUGGGAAAAUCUCCUACACACACACACACACACACACACACACACACACGGACACACACAAGCUCUGCGGGAGUUGCUUUCUGGAGUAGGGAUUAAGAUUCCUUCAGUUUGAUGUGGUACAGAGAAAGCUAGCAAAGGAGGGCAGAACAAGCCAUACACUGUCCUGUGCGGGGAAGGCGGUUGUUCCAGAGUCGCCAGAGGUGGCCCCAAGGGAGCGAGCAGCCUGGGGAUUCACAGACAAUUGGGAAAGGGCCUGGCCUUCCAUCCAACAUGGACGAGCGAUUUGGGCUUCCAGAGAACACCGCCAGGAGCUUGGAGCCCGUCUUACCUGGAUCCGUGCUUCUUAAACUUUCGUGUGCCUAAGAAUCGCCUGAGGGCCCUGAGGAAAUGCAGACUCUGAAUCAGUCGGCCUGCAGCGGGGCCCGCGGCUCUGCAUUUCUGUCGCACGCAAGCUCACAGGUGACAGCGACACUGCUGGUGUGUGCACCAACUGUGGGUCAGAGGGCCCCAGAUCUCAAAGGGAUAGAAAGCUCCUGAUGGCAUCAUUGCACCUCUCUGUCUCUCUCUUGUACGCACACAUGCGCGCACACACACACCAUCUCCUGGUGUUCCUGAGAAAACAGGGAUCUCCUGGAUGAGGCCAUAACAGGGAAAGCCAUCAAGGAGCCACUGCCCCCUUGUUGACCCUUCACCUCAGUCCCUGCUCUGUCCAGCCCAGGAGCGUAGAGGUCACGCCAGGGGACCCUCAGCGGUCCAUUCCGCAUGCUCUGGCCCAAGGCAUUAGAGCAUCCGUCUGCAGGGGGCGAACCAAAGACUCUCCACGGUUGGCCUCAGGACCCCUCUCUCAGAGGGAAGGGGGGCGGAGGAAAAGUUUCCGAUGGUGUUUGUCUUGAGAAAGGCCCCAGGGAGCCAAGCAUGAACUGCGUGCCUGACUGAGAGAGGGCUAUGUGGUCCACUCCCUUGUUUUCCACAGAUGCUGAAGGAGUCCAAGCCAGAGCUCAGGAAAAAUGUUUUCCCGGAUAUCCACCCCUGCCCCAGAGGCGGUGAUGAAGUUGGCAAAGGACAGUCAGGUCAAGUCGGGCUCUGGCAACCUCUUGGAACAUAAGAAUCCACAGAAUCUGAAGGGGAAAUGGAGGCUGGAGAGCACCUACCGUGGAAAGAAGAGAGGAAGAGGAGGCCAUCGCACGGAGCAGGGACCCCCGGGCGGGCCCUGUUCUGGGAGCCUCUGCUACCUGGGUGGUGAGUGGAACCCCUGCUGCCAUCUGGGCAUGUGCUUGUUUGCUGGGGGGGUGGCUUCCCACCUCAGAGGGAGCCCAGCUCUCUCAGGAGCACUUGCUGUGGAGAGACUGUCCUCACUUCGCGCUGGAAUCAGCCUUUCUCAAGCGUCCGUGCUAAGGGCCUUUGUGAUGACGCUGCCCUCGAAGCCACAGCAGGGAGGAUGACCCCGUCUCUGCAAGGCCGCUCACAGCCAACAGCGCAUCCCGCCGGCUGAGCCGCAGGCCACCGGAGGGAAGCAGGUGCCAGCUUUCUUCCCAGGUUUCAGAUAAGCAAGUGAAGGCCUUGAGAAGCUCAAGGAGAGAGGGAAGCUGGGGGAGAGGCUGAGAGCACAGGCUCCAGGUCAGACCAUUGGCUGUGCGUCUGUGGACAAGCUCCUUGACCGUCCUAAGCUUGGGUUUCUUCUCCUGUGAGCUGGGCGUAAUGACAUUACACACUGGAGACGUUUGUGGUGAGGACAAAAUGGAAGUGCUUCACCUUCCGUUCAUGGGGACUUCUCUUCCACUAUUGAGGACAAAGUGGAGAAAAGAGGAGGCUGUCACCCGCCCAAGACCGGGCAGUGGUGGCACCAGAUCUAGAACUCCGACAUUCUGAUGCUAAAGCCAAUACUUCUCCCAUUGCGUUCAAUAUCUUGCCUUCCUGGGCCGGUCAGAGCCUGAAACUGUCCAGCAAUCCCCACAUCGGCAGAGCCUGGCCCUCCCCUCACUGCAUGUGCACAGAGGUGGCCACCACGUGGUGUGGCAGGGCGUCCCUCCCUCCCCUGCCCCCGAAGCCUGAAAUUGCGGUGUUACACUUCCUACCUGGGAGUCAGGCUGCCCUUUCCCCUUCAGCCUCUGUUCACAUACAAACACCCUAGAGAGGUGGGGGACUGGAAGAGCGCCCACCUGCUAAAAGCCUGUCCUGGUCCCCUCACUCCCCAGAGGCCAACACCUGCUCACUCACAACACCUGAGCAAAGCCAUGUCAUUCCCACAUCACAGGUGAAGAGACAGAAGCCCAGAGAGGUUAAGCAUCUUGCCUGGCCACACACAAGCACUAGAUGGGAGGAGGAUUUGAGCGUGGAAUUCUGACUGAGUGCCUGUGCUCCUCGCCUCGAGGACAUAGUCCCCGACUGACACUGCUCCUGUCUCCCGAGAGGAGGGGAAGGUGGUCCCGGCGCAGGACAGUGUAUGGCUUGUUUUGCCUUCCUUCCCUUGCUCACUCUCUCUUGUCUGUUUCAUGUCAACCCAGACGGGAAACUUAAUCCCUUCCUCAGCUGCCAUCACAAAACUACCUGAUUUCAUCCGAUCCUCCCACCAGUGCUGGGAGAGGGGCACCGGCGCCCUCGGCUUUACAGCUGACGAAGCUCCCAGAGGUUCCCUGACUCGCUGAGAGGACAUGGCCGUUAAGUAGGGGCUCGGCCAGCCCCUCCCUCUACACCAGGGCCUCCUAGCUUGCAGGCAGCAUCUCACCCCCCAGGGGGCCUUGAUCAGAUUCUUUUAGGAUGUCACAACAGGCCUUGGGGCUGGGCAGGCUGGAAUGCAGCCCCUGCAGAAGCAAGCCUCAGUCACCAGGGCGGGGAGGACUUUAGGGAGGAAAGGGAGGUGCUGGGGAGGGUUAUCUGACGAAACAGGCGGAGCAUGUUUCCAGAGAGUUCGGGAUGGUGCAGUCAGGCUGUCAGGCUGGGAAUUCCAGCUGUUUUGCAGAGCUAAGUCUGGGUCACUGUGCAUCUGUGGAAUCCAGCCUCCUGACUAUCCAGGUGAGCUAGACGACCCACAGUGGACGGUCCGGAGUAGGCAGGAGUGUCCCAUUGACAGGAGGAGGCCCCAGGGAGACCCCGGAGAGGUGGAAUCUCACAGGGUUAGGAGAGGACUUCUGAGGCCACACCGCCUGGGUUCUCCCCCAGGUCUUCCAUUUACUAGCUAUGUGACCUUGGCCAAGUUACUUUAAUCCUCUGUGUCUCAUGUCCCUCGUCUAGGAUACUAAUAGAGUCUAACUCACAAACUUCCUGUGAAGAUUAACUAAAUGAGAAAGAGAAAAGCCACCUGACGCCUGUGAACUGGCCUAGCCCUACAAGCAAGGCCUCAGGGUCGUUAGUGCUGGCCGGGCUCUGCGGAGAGGCCAUGGUGCUCUCCUGCUGAACAUCAGUAGUCUCAGAAAUGAGGUCAUUCUAUAAUUUUUUCUAAGUAUGUACAAAAACAGGGUCACCGUGAAAAUCACAAGAAUACCAAACAUUCCCCUUUCCCAGCCAACUUGAGGGACUGCUGCCUCCUUACUAAUUACCUCUUUAGCCUCUUUCUAUUCCCCCCUUUCUAGAUAAGAUUCAUUAAGAUAUCCAAUCAGAACUGCCCUUGGGGGCUGGCCCCGUGACCGAGUGGUGAAGUUCGUGCGCUCUGCUUUGGCAGCUCAGGUUUUCCCCGAUUGGGAUCCUCAGCGUGGACAUGGCACCACUCGUCAGGCCAUGCUGAGGCUGUGUCCCACAUGGCACAACCAGAGGGACCUACAACUAGAAGAUGCAACUA
Molecule: non-coding RNA, 6108 nt
Organism: Equus caballus (horse)
Lineage: Eukaryota; Metazoa; Chordata; Mammalia; Perissodactyla; Equidae
Source: RefSeq, a predicted model, not a curated record